RNAcentral lists this ribosomal RNA (291 nucleotides) under Triticum aestivum (bread wheat). RNAcentral's name for it is "partial small subunit ribosomal RNA". The record is from RNAcentral. Lineage: Eukaryota; Viridiplantae; Streptophyta; Magnoliopsida; Poales; Poaceae.
AUGCAGUACCCAUACAAAUUUCUGUGGAAAGUGAAAAUGCCCCCUGGGGUUAAAGUUUUUAUAUGGUUACUACUGAGGAAAAGUAUUCCUACCAAACAAAAUUUAAAGAAAAGAGGAUGGCAGGGUGAUACAAAAUGCUCCUUUUGUGGGAGGGAGGAAGAUGUUGAACAUUUAUUCAUACACUGUUCUGUGGCUAAAAUGUUAUGGACGGUUAUGAAAUGCUCCUUUAAUAUACAUGAUGUUCCAGAAAGAAUUAAUGACAUAUUUGGCAGAUGGCUAACUAAAUUCUAG